RNAcentral lists this ribosomal RNA (525 nucleotides) under uncultured bacterium. RNAcentral describes it as "bacterial SSU rRNA". It matches the Rfam family "Bacterial small subunit ribosomal RNA", at positions 355 to 896 of the family's 1533-position model. The record is from RNAcentral.
UAGGGAAUAUUGGUAAUCUGCGAAAGCGGGAACCAGCAACGCCGCGUGUGCGAUGAAGGCCUUCGGGUCGUAAAGCACUUUUCGAUGGGAUGAGGAAGGACAGUACCAUCGGAAUAAGUCUCGGCUAACUACGUGCCAGCAGCCGCGGUAAAACGUAGGAGGCGAGCGUUAUCCGGAUUUACUGGGCGUAAAGCGCGUGUAGGCGGUUCUGUAAGUUGGAUGUGAAAGCUCCUGGCUCAACUGGGAGAGGUCGUUCAAUACUACGGGACUUGAGGAUGGUAGAGGGAGGUGGAAUUCCGGGUGUAGUGGUGAAAUGCGUAGAUAUCCGGAGGAACACCAGUGGCGAAAGCGGCCUCCUGGACCAUAUCUGACGCUCAGAUGCGAAAGCUAGGAGAGUAAACGGGAUUAGAAACCCCGGUAGUCCUAGCCGUAAACGAUGUGGACUUGGCGUUGGUGGGGUAAAAUCCAUCAGUGCCGGAGCUAACGCGGUAAGUCCACCGCCUGGGGACUACGGCCGCAAGGUUA